UACGUAGGGGCCAAGCGUUGUCCGGAUUUAUUGGGCGUAAAGAGCUCGUAGGCGGUUCGACAAGUCGGGUGUGAAAACUCCGGGCUCAACCCGGAGACGCCACCCGAUACUGUCGUGACUGGAGUCCGGUAGGGGAGUGGGGAAUUCCUGGUGUAGCGGUGAAAUGCGCAGAUAUCAGGAAGAACACCCGUGGCGAAGGCGGUUCUCUGGGACGGUACUGACGCUGAGACGCGAAAGCGUGGGGAGCGAACAGG
RNAcentral lists this ribosomal RNA (254 nucleotides) under uncultured bacterium. RNAcentral's name for it is "partial 16S ribosomal RNA". It matches the Rfam family "Bacterial small subunit ribosomal RNA", at positions 524 to 776 of the family's 1533-position model. The record is from RNAcentral.